This 429-nucleotide ribosomal RNA is filed under the name Verrucomicrobiota bacterium. Its description in RNAcentral is "Verrucomicrobia bacterium partial 16S ribosomal RNA". It matches the Rfam family "Bacterial small subunit ribosomal RNA", at positions 355 to 776 of the family's 1533-position model. The record is from RNAcentral. Lineage: Bacteria; Pseudomonadati; Verrucomicrobiota.
UAGGGAAUCUUCCGCAAUGGACGAAAGUCUGACGGAGCAACGCCGCGUGAGUGAAGAAGGAUUUCGGUUCGUAAAACUCUGUUGUUAGGGAAGAAAAAAUGUAUAGUAACUAUAUACAAAAGAGACGGUACCUAACCAGAAAGCCACGGCUAACUACGUGCCAGCAGCCGCGGUAAUACGUAGGUGGCAAGCGUUGUCCGGAAUUAUUGGGCGUAAAGCGCGCGCAGGUGGUUUAGAAAGUCUGAUGUGAAAGCCCACGGCUCAACCGUGGAGGGUCAGUGGAAACUAAUAAACUUGAGUGCAGGAGAGAAAAGUGGAAUUCCUAGUGUAGCGGUGAAAUGCGUAGAGAUUAGGAGGAACACCGGUGGCGAAAGCGGCUUUUUGGCCUGCAACUGACACUGAGGCGCGAAAGCGUGGGGAGCAAACAGG